This 253-nucleotide ribosomal RNA is filed under the name uncultured bacterium. RNAcentral describes it as "partial 16S ribosomal RNA". It matches the Rfam family "Bacterial small subunit ribosomal RNA", at positions 524 to 776 of the family's 1533-position model. The record is from RNAcentral.
UACGAAGGGGGCGAGCGUUGUUCGGAAUUACUGGGCGUAAAGGGCGCGCAGGCGGCCUUUCAAGUCAGAUGUGAAAGCCCCGGGCUCAACCUGGGAAUGGCAUUUGGGACUGGAAGGCUCGAGAUCGGGAGAGGAGGGUGGAAUUCCCAGUGUAGAGGUGAAAUUCGUAGAUAUUGGGAAGAACACCGGUGGCGAAGGCGGCUCUCUGGACCGAUACUGACGCUGAGGCGCGAAAGCGUGGGGAGCGAACAGG